UCGGGCCUUCUCGUGGCUACCUCUGUGCUUCCCUGAGACCUGAUUUGUGAGCCCUUUUUGCUGGUUUUCGCCAGAGGUUUUUUACCAAAUCAAAAUUUCAACCAUUGACUAACACAGGGGUUGAAGGAAGAGGACGGGGAAGUUCAGUGAUGGAUGGGAACAACAGUCUUAGAUGAUAGGGAUAAUUAAGAGGGCAUAGUUGGGGACUUGUGGUUAUUUUGCACAGCUCUCUACUCUCAGUCCAAUGUUUGGAAAUGAGGAUGCUCCACGUGCUACCCUAAAGAACCAUUUAUGUAAGUGGACUAAGCUAAAACUGCCACAGCUAAACUAUUCCUGCCUCCCUGCUUGCUUCUCCCAUCUCUGUUCCAUAGUCUUUGGUGCUAUUUACAUAUAGGCCUUAAUCCAUUAGAAUCUCGUCUGAGAGUCUUGACACCAUUUUUUGUUUGUUUUGAGACAGUCUAGCUCUGUUGCCCAGGCUGGAGUGCAGUGGGGCGAUCUCGGCUCACUACAAGCUCCACUUCCCACGUUCAGACGAUUCGGUACCUCAGCCUCCCGAGUAGCUGGGAUUACAGGCGUGCGCCACCACAUCUGGCUAGUUUUUGUAUUUUUGGUAGAGAUGGGGUUUUCACGAUGUUGGCCAGGCUGGUCUCGAACUCAUGGCCUCAAGUGACCUGCCUGUCUCGGCCUCCCAAAGUGCUGAGAUUACAGCUGUGAGCCACCUCGCCCAGCUGAUUAUUGUAUUUUUAGUAGAGAUGUGUUUCAUGCGCGUCUGUGUGAAGACACCACCAAACAGGCUUUGUGUGAGCAACAUGGCUGUUUAUUUCACCUGGGUGCAGGCGGGCUGAGUCCGAAAAGAGAGUCAGCAAAGGGUGAUGGAUUAUCAUUAGUUCUUACAGGUUUUGGGAUAGGUGGUGAAGUUGAGAGCAAUGUUUUGUGGGCAGGGGUGGAUCUCACAAAGUACAUUCUCAAGGGUGGGGAGAAUUACAAAGAACCUUCUUAAGGGUGGGGGAGAUUACAAAGUACAUUGAUCAGUUCGGGUGGGGCAGAAACAAAUCACAAUGGUGGAAUGUCAUCAGUUAAGGCUAUUUUUACUUCUUUUGUGGAUCUUCAGUUACUUCAGGCCAUCUGGAUGUAUACGUGCAAGUCACAGGGGAUGCGAUGGCUUGGCUUGGGCUCAGAGGCCUGACAAUGUGGUUUCACCAUGUUGGCCAGGCUGGUCUCAAACUCCUGGCCUCAGGUGAUCCACCUGCCUCAGCCUCUUAAAGUGCUGGGAUUACAGGUGUGAGUCACUGCACCCAGCUGACACCAUUUAUUUUUGUACUGAUAAUAAGGCACAUUUGACUCUAGAGGUUUGUAAAGCCCUUGAGAACAAGGAUCUUCUUAUAUGCCAUGUAUGUUAGUUAACGUUAAUUAAAGCAGCCUUUUUGUUAAAAGAUCUGUAAAAAUAAUAGCUAAAAUUCAAAAGCAAGGUGCUGAGAGACAUAGGAAAGGUGAGCAAGCUCACUUUUUAUUUAUUUUUUUGAGAUGAGGUCUUGCCCUGUCACCCAGGCUGGAGUGCAGUGGCACCAUCAGUGCUCAUUGCUGCCUCAACCUCCUGGGCUGAAGUGAUCCUCCCACCACAGCCUCGCGAGUAGCGAGGAACACAGGUGCAUGCCCCUAUACUUGGCUAAUUUUUUUAUUUCUUGUAGAGAUGGGGUAUCACUAUUUUGCCCAGGCCGGUCUUGAACUCCUGGACUCAGGUGAUCCUCCUACCUUGGCCUCCCAAAGUGUUGGGAUUACAGACCGGGCUCUGUGCCUCAUGCCAAUAAUCCCAGCACUUUGGGAGGCUGAGGCGGGCAGAUCACGAGGUCAGGAGAUCAAGACCAUCCUGGCCAACACGGUGAAACCCCGUCUCUACUAAAAAAAAAAUACGAAAAAUUAGCUGGGCAUGGUGGCGGGUGCCUAUAGUCCCAGCUACUCAGGAGGCUGAGGCAGGAGAAUGGCAUGAAUCCGGGAGGCAGAGCUUUCAGUGAGCCGAGAUCGUGCCACUGCACUCCAGCCUGGGCAACAGAACGAGACUCUGUCUCAAAAAAAAAAAAAGAAAGAAAGUAACAAAGUCUUGCUAUGUUAUCCAGGAUGGUCUACAACUCCUGUCCUCAAGGGAUCCUCCCACCUGAGCCUCUUGAAUAGCUGGGAUUAUAAGCAUGAGCCACCACACCCAGUUUCAAAUACAUUUUAUUUUAUUUUAUUUUACUUAUUUUUUUUUUGAGACGGAGUCUUGCUCUGUUGCCCAGGCUGGAGUGGAGUGGCACAAUCUCGGCUCACCACAACCUCCACCUCCUGGGUUCAACCGUUUCUCCUGCCUCAGCCUCCCAAGUAGCUGGGACUACAGGUGCGCACCACCAUGCCCGGCUAAUUUUUGUAUUUUUAGUAGAGACAGGGUUUCACUAUGUUAGCCAGGCCGGUCUCAAACUCCUGACCUUGUGAUCCACCUGCCUCAGCCUCCCAAAGUGCUGGGAUUACAAAUGUGAGCCGCUGCGCCCGGCCUUUUUUUUUUUUUUUUUUUUUUUUUUUUGAGAUGGAGCCUUGCUCUGCCGCCCAGGUUGGAGUGCAAUGGCGCGGUCUUGGCUCACUGCAACUUCCACCACCCAGGUUCAAGCAAUUCGGCCUCAGCCUCCUGAAUAGCUGGGACUACAGGCGCGUGCCAUUACACCCAGCUAAUUUUUGUAUUUUUUUUUUUUUUUUGAGACAGAGUCUUGCUCUUUCACCCAGGCCGGACUGCCAUGGCGCUAUCUCGGCUCACUGCAAGCUCCGUCUCCCGGGUUCACGCCAUUCUUCUGCCUCAGCCUCCCGAGUAGCUGGGACUACAGGCGCCUGGCUAAUUUUUUGUAUUUUUAGUAGAGACAGGGUUUCACCGUGUUAGCCAAGAUGGUCUCGAUCUCCUGACCUCGUGAUCCGCCCACCUCGGCCUCCCAAAGUGCUGGGAUUACAGGCGUGAGCCACCGCGCCCAGCCUAUGCCCUACUACUGUGCCGACAGCACAGCAUCUCCCAUCACAACACCAUAAUCAAUCAUUUUUACAUAAUCAUUUUCACAUAUAAGAUCAUAAUUUGGCCAGGCGUGGUAGCUCACGCCUGUAAUCCCAGAACUUUGGGAGGCCGAGGUGGGUGGAUCACCUAAGGUCAGGAGUUCAAGACCAGCCUGGCCAACAUGGUGAAACCCCAUCUCUACUAAAAAUACAAAAAUUAGUUGGGCGUGGUGAUGGGUGCCUGUAAUCCCAGCUACUGCAGAGGCUGUGGCAGGAGAAUUGCUUGAACUCGGGAGGCGGAGGUUGCAGUGAGCUGAGAUUGUGCCACUGCACUCCAGCCUGGGUGAUAGAGGAAGACUCCAUCUCAAAGAAAAAAAAAAAAUUCAGGCCCAAGUCUCCCCAGGUAACACUAGCAUAUAACUAGAGUUCAGUAGUCUCUCAGGAGGUGUGACAGACAUUGCUACUCGUCUUAGCCAGUAUUUAUUUUUUAAUUUUUUGAGACGGAGUCUCACUCUGUCGCCCAGGCUGGAGGGCAGUGGCGCGAUCUCGGCUCACCACAAACUCCGCCUCCUGGAUUCAAGCAAUUCUCUGCCUCAUCCUCCCAAGUAGCUGCGAUUACAGGCACCCGCCACCACACCCAGCUAAUUUUUGCAUUUUUAGUAGAGAUGGGGUUUCACCAUGUUGGCCAGGCUGGUCUCGAACUCUUGACCUUGUGAUCUGCCCACCUUGCCCUCCCAAAGUGCUGGGAUUACAGGCAUGAGCCACCAUGCAUGGCCUAAUUUUUGUAUUUUUAGUAGAGACGGGGUUUCACCAGCUUGGCCAGGCUGGUCUUGAACUCUUAACCUCAUGAUCCACCCACCUUGGCCUCCCAAAGUGCUGAGAUUACAGGUGUGAGCCACCACGCCCAGCCGUCUUAUCCAACAUUUAUCCUCCCUUUCUUCCUUUCUGACAGAACCCCAUUUUUUUUUUUUCAGAAUUACAAUGUGCUUAGCUUUCCAUGACUCCCUUGCCACCCUGAAAAUGUUAAUAAAACUUUGUCAUGGGCGGGAUGCAGUGGCUCACGCCUGUAAUCCCAGCACUUUAGGAGGCUGUGGUGGGCAGAUCACCUGAGGUCAGGAGUUUGAGACCAACCUGGCCAACAUGGUGAAACCCAUCUCUACUAAAAUACAAAAAAAUUAGCUGGGCAUAGUGGCAGGCACCUGUAAUGCCAGCUACUCAGGAGGCUGAGGCAGGAGAAUUGUUUGUACCUGGGAGGUGGAGGUUGCAGUGAGCCGAGACUGCGCCAUUGCACUCCAGCCUGGGCAACAAGAGCAAAACUCCAUCUAAAAAAAAAACAAAAACAAAAACAAAAAAAUUAAUUAAUGAAUUUUUUGAAGACAGAGUCUUGCUCUGUCACUCAGGCUGGAGUGCAGUGGCGCAUGAUCGUGGCUCACUGCAGCCUCGACCUCCUGGACUCAGGUGAUCCUCCCACCCUCUCACCUCAGCCGCCCCUCUCCCCUGGCCACCAGUGACUGAAACUACAGGUGUGCACCACUACCCCCUCUUAAACUCCUGGGCUCAAGCAAUCACCUGCCUCAGCCUCCAAAAGUGCUGGGUUACAGGUGUGAGCCACCAUGUCCAGCCAGUAGUACCUGUUAGUAUGUAGUAAGAGCAUAGGGGAGUGGUGGGGGCAAAGUUUGAAGUUUGGUGACAGAUUGUGAAGGGCUUUCAGUGCUAUUGAUAAAAUUUUAAGCAGGGAUGACACGAUCGAAUUUUGUAAUUUAGGAAGCCAAGUCUAGGAGUGGUGGGCAAAGAGGUGGGGAGGCUGGUCCAUGGGAAUCUAGCUAGGGAGUUGUUGCAAUUGUCUAGGGAAAAUCUGACAAGGAGUUGAACAAAUUUAUCAAGAAUGGGAAAGGGGCCGGGCGCGGUGGCUCACGCCUGUAACCCCAACACUUUGGGAGGCCGAUGUGGGCGGAUCACAAGGUCAGGAGUAUGAGACCAGCUUGACCAAUAUGGUGAACUAAAAAUACAAAAAUUAGCCAAGCGUGUGGCAGGCGCCUGUAAUCCCAGCUACUCAGGCUGCUGAGGCAGGAGAAUCGCUUGAACCUGGGAGGUGGAGGUUGCAGUGAGCCGAGAUCACGCCAUUGCACUCCAGCCUGGGUGACAGAGUGAGACUCUGUCUCAAAAAAGAAAAAAGAAAAAAAAAAAAGAAUGGGAAAGGAUGAAAGGACUUUGAUUUGAGAAACAUUUCUCAAGGUAGAAUCAGCAGGAUUUGAUGACCAGUUGGAUGUGUGACCAAAGAGAAAGGAAGAAGUUUAAGAUAACUUCCAAGAUUUCCGGCCGGGUGCGAUGGCUCAAGCCUGUAAUCCCAGCACUUUGGGAGGCCGAGGCAGGUGGAUCACCUGAAGUCGGGAGUUCGAGACCAGCCUGAUCAACAUGGAGAAACCCUGUCUCUACUAAAAUUACAAAAAAUUAGCCAGGUGUGGUGGUGUGUGCCUGUAAUCCCAGCUACUUGGGAGGCUGAGGCAGGAGAAUUGCUUGAACCUGGGAGGCAGAGGUUGCAGUGAGCUGAGAUCACACCAUUGCACUCCAACCUGGGCAACAAGAGCGAAAUUCUGCUUCAAAAAAAAAAAAGAUUUCUAUAAUGGGAGGCAGGGUAAGUAGUGAUGCUUUUUCAAUUAUUUAUUUAUUUUUUAUAUAUUUUUAGAGACAGGUUCUUGCUGUCUCACAUAGGCUGGUGUGCAGUGAUGCCAUCAUAGCUCACUAUAACCUUGAACUCCUGGGCUCAAGGAAAUCUUCCUGCCUAAGUCUCUUUAGUAGCUGGGACUACAGGUGCUGGUCACGCUCAUUUUUAAAUUGGUUUUUUUUUUUUUUUUUUUUUGAGAGGUCUCACUCUGUCGCUCAGGCUUUAGUGCAGUGGCACUAUCUUGGCUCACUGCAACCUCCGUCUCCCAGGUUCAAGCAAUUCUGCCUCAGCCUCCCAAGUAGCUGGGGCUACAGGCGUGUGCCACCACACCUGGCUAAUUUUUGUUUUAGUAGAGAUGGGUCUUGCCAUGUUGUCCAGGCUGGUCUCGAACUCCUGGCCUCAAGUGAUCUACCUGCCUCAGCCUCCCAAAGUGCUGGGAUUACAGGAGUGAGCCACUGCACCUGGCUUACAUUUUUUUUUUUUUUUUUUUGUAGAGGCAGGGUUUUGCUAUGUUGCUCAAGCUGGUCUCGAACUCAACUCAAAGCAUUGGGAUUACAGGUAUGAGCCACUGUGCCCGGCCAAGUGAUGCUUUUAAAUAAGGGUGUAUAUAUUUGGAAGACAAGCUUUGUUGGGAAAGAUGAUACAUACUGAGCCAGAAGUGCUGUGAGACUCAGUAGAUAAGGAAUCCAACAGGCAGUCAGAUAUGCAGGAUUAAGGCUACAGGAAUGGUCAGGGCUAUAGAAAUAUUUCAGGAGUUAUCAAGAGGUAGAUUGUAGUUUAAUGAGAAAACAAUUAACAUUUACUGAGCAUCUGUUAAAUGGCAGACACUCUGGUGUUUGUGCAUGGGUAGGGCACUCAUAAUUGAUGGCCUCAAUUUUCUUUGAAAGGGAAACCCAGGCCGGGCGCGGUGGCUCACGCCUGUAAUCCCAGCACUUUGGGAGGCCGAGGCGGG
RNAcentral lists this long non-coding RNA (6623 nucleotides) under Homo sapiens (human). RNAcentral describes it as "HSALNT0295694". The record is from RNAcentral. Lineage: Eukaryota; Metazoa; Chordata; Mammalia; Primates; Hominidae.